UUUUCAGCAGCCGCGGUAAUACGGAGGAUGCAAGCGUUAUCCGGAUUCAUUGGGUUUAAAGGGUGCGUAGGCGGACUAUUAAGUCAGUGGUGAAAUCCUGCAGCUUAACUGCAGAACUGCCAUUGAUACUGAUAGACUUGAGUUUGGUUAAGGUAGGCGGAAUGUGUAAUGUAGCGGUGAAAUGCUUAGAUAUUACACAGAACACCAAUUGCGUAGGCAGCUUACUGAGCCGAUACUGACGCUGAGGCACGAAAGCGUGGGGAUCGAACAGGAUUAGAAACCCCCGUAGUCC
Molecule: ribosomal RNA, 292 nt
Filed under: uncultured bacterium
Lineage: Bacteria
Description: partial 16S ribosomal RNA
Rfam family: Bacterial small subunit ribosomal RNA
Source: RNAcentral